RNAcentral lists this ribosomal RNA (496 nucleotides) under uncultured bacterium. RNAcentral describes it as "partial 16S ribosomal RNA". It matches the Rfam family "Bacterial small subunit ribosomal RNA", at positions 29 to 507 of the family's 1533-position model. The record is from RNAcentral.
AUGAACGCUGGCGGCGUGCCUAAUCCAUGCAAGUCGAGCGAACGGACGAGAAGCUUGCUUCUCUGAUGUUAGCGGCGGACGGGUGAGUAACACGUGGAUAACCUACCUAUAAGACUGGGAUAACUUCGGGAAACCGGAGCUAAUACCGGAUAAUAUUUUGAACCGCAUGGUUCAAAAGUGAAAGACGGUCUUGCUGUCACUUAUAGAUGGAUCCGCGCUGCAUUAGCUAGUUGGUAAGGUAACGGCUUACCAAGGCAACGAUGCAUAGCCGACCUGAGAGGGUGAUCGGCCACACUGGAACUGAGACACGGUCCAGACUCCUACGGGAGGCAGCAGUAGGGAAUCUUCCGCAAUGGGCGAAAGCCUGACGGAGCAACGCCGCGUGAGUGAUGAAGUUCUUCGGAUCGUAAAACUCUGUUAUUAGGGAAGAACAUAUGUGUAAGUAACUGUGCACAUCUUGACGGUACCUAAUCAGAAAGCCACGGCUAACUACGUG